Molecule: ribosomal RNA, 403 nt
Filed under: uncultured bacterium
Lineage: Bacteria
Description: bacterial SSU rRNA
Rfam family: Bacterial small subunit ribosomal RNA
Source: RNAcentral
AACUUUAGUUGGCGGACGGGUGAGUAACGCGUGAGCAACCUGCCUUUCAGAGGGGACAACAGUUGGAAACGACUGCUAAUACCGCAUGAUAUACCGAGAAGGCAUCUUCAUGGUAUCAAAGAUUUAUCGCUGAAAGAUGGUCUCGCGUCUGAUUAGCUAGAUGGCGGGUAACGGCCCACCAUGGCGACGAUCAGUAGCCGGUCUGAGAGAAUGAACGGCCACAUUGGGACUGAGAUACGGCCCAGACUCCUACGGGAGGCAGCAGUGGGGAAUAUUGGGCAAUGGGGGAAACCCUGACCCAGCAACGCCGCGUGAAGGAAGAAGGCCUUCGGGUUGUAAACUUCUUUUACCAGGGACGAAGAACGUGACGGUACCUGGAGAAAAAGCAACGGCUAACUACGUG